RNAcentral lists this ribosomal RNA (115 nucleotides) under Periophthalmus magnuspinnatus. Lineage: Eukaryota; Metazoa; Chordata; Actinopteri; Gobiiformes; Gobiidae. The record is from RNAcentral.
GUUCAUGGCCAAAACGUCCUCGUAAAAGCGUGAUCUCGUCACAUCUCAAAAGCUAAGCAGAACUGGGCCUGGUUAGUGCUUGAAUGGGAGACUGCUGGAAAUAUCAGGUGCCACA